This 800-nucleotide ribosomal RNA is filed under the name uncultured bacterium. RNAcentral describes it as "bacterial SSU rRNA". It matches the Rfam family "Bacterial small subunit ribosomal RNA", at positions 8 to 816 of the family's 1533-position model. The record is from RNAcentral.
AGAGUUUGAUCAUGGCUCAGGAUAAACGCUGGCGGCGCACAUAAGACAUGCAAGUCGAACGAACCAAAUAUCUUGCUUGCAAGGUAAGAGGUUAGUGGCGGACUGGUGAGUAACACGUAAGAAAUCUGCCUAUCAGAGGGGAAUAACAGUGAGAAAUCAUUGCUAAUACCGCAUAUGCCAUAGUCAUCGCAUGAAGACAGUGGGAAAGGAGAAAUCCGCUGAUAGAUGAGCUUGCGGCUGAUUAGCUAGUUGGUGGGGUAAUGGCCUACCAAGGCGACGAUCAGUAGCCGGACUGAGAGGUUGAACGGCCACAUUGGGACUGAGAUACGGCCCAGACUCCUACGGGAGGCAGCAGUCGGGAAUAUUGCGCAAUGGAGGGAACUCUGACGCAGUGACGCCGCGUAUAGGAAGAAGGUUUUCGGAUUGUAAACUAUUGUUCAUGGGGAAGAAUAAUGACGGUACCCGUGAAGAAAGCUCCGGCUAACUACGUGCCAGCAGCCGCGGUAAUACGUAGGGAGCGAGCGUUAUCCGGAAUUAUUGGGUGUAAAGGGUGCGUAGACGGGAGAACAAGUUAGUUGUGAAAACCCUCGGCUCAACUGAGGACGUGCAACUAAAACUAUUCAUCUUGAGUGCAGGAGAGGAAAGUGGAAUUCCUAGUGUAGCGGUGAAAUGCGUAGAUAUUAGGAAGAACACCGGUGGCGAAGGCGACUUUCUGGACUGUAACUGACGUUGAGGCACGAAAGUGUGGGGAGCAAACAGGAUUAGAUACCCUGGUAGUCCACACUGUAAACGAUGGAUAC